GCCUUCAUUCUACACUACGAUGAGGUGUCCAUCAUGGAGGUUAAGAUCAAUGCCCUCAUUAAAGCAUCGGGGGAUAUGCUGAACCUUUUUGGCCUGGCUUGUUUGCAGAGGCCCUGGCCAAUGUCAACAUCAGGAGCCUCCUCUGCAAUGUAGGGGCUGGAGGACCUGCUCCAGCGGCUAGGGGUUCAUCCACAGGCCAGUCAUGCCCCUCCACUGCCGCUGCUCCAGCUGAGCACAAGGAAGUGGACGCAAAGAAUCUGACGACUCUGGUGAUGACAUGGCUUUGGACUUUUUGACCC
Molecule: long non-coding RNA, 299 nt
Filed under: Homo sapiens (human)
Lineage: Eukaryota; Metazoa; Chordata; Mammalia; Primates; Hominidae
Description: non-protein coding lnc-SGCG-9:1
Source: RNAcentral